RNAcentral lists this unclassified non-coding RNA (231 nucleotides) under uncultured fungus. Its description in RNAcentral is "sequence contains ITS1, 5.8S rRNA gene". The stretch from base 183 to 231 matches the Rfam family "5.8S ribosomal RNA", at positions 1 to 49 of the family's 154-position model. Lineage: Eukaryota; Fungi. The record is from RNAcentral.
UCUCCGUAGGUGAACCUGCGGAGGGAUCAUUACUGAGUGAGGGUCUCCGGGCCCGACCUCCAACCCUUUUGUGAACCAAACUUGUUGCUUCGGGGGCGACCCUGCCGUUCGCGGCGUGGGGCCCCCGGAGCCCAUCAAACCCUGCGUCGCAUGCGUCGGUUUGAAUUGAUUGAAUAUCAAAAAACUUUCAACAACGGAUCUCUUGGUUCUGGCAUCGAUGAAGAACGCAGC